AUUGAACGCUGGCGGCAUGCCUUACACAUGCAAGUCGAACGGUAACAGGUUAAGCUGACGAGUGGCGAACGGGUGAGUAAUGUAUCGGAACGUGCCCAGUCGUGGGGGAUAACUGCUCGAAAGAGCAGCUAAUACCGCAUACGACCUGAGGGUGAAAGCGGGGGAUCGCAAGACCUCGCGCGAUUGGAGCGGCCGAUAUCAGAUUAGGUAGUUGGUGAGGUAAAGGCUCACCAAGCCGACGAUCUGUAGCUGGUCUGAGAGGACGACGAGCCACACUGGGACUGAGACACGGCCCAGACUCCUACGGGAGGCAGCAGUGGGGAAUUUUGGACAAUGGGCGCAAGCCUGAUCCAGCCAUGCCGCGUGCGGGAAGAAGGCCUUCGGGUUGUAAACCGCUUUUGUCAGGGAAGAAAAGGUUCUGGCUAAUACCUGGGACUCAUGACGGUACCUGAAGAAUAAGCACCGGCUAACUACGUG
RNAcentral lists this ribosomal RNA (477 nucleotides) under uncultured bacterium. RNAcentral's name for it is "partial 16S ribosomal RNA". It matches the Rfam family "Bacterial small subunit ribosomal RNA", at positions 30 to 507 of the family's 1533-position model. The record is from RNAcentral.